Molecule: ribosomal RNA, 432 nt
Filed under: uncultured bacterium
Lineage: Bacteria
Description: partial 16S ribosomal RNA
Rfam family: Bacterial small subunit ribosomal RNA
Source: RNAcentral
ACGAACGCUGGCGGCAUGCCUAACACCUGCAAGUCGAACGAGACCUUCGGGUCUAGUGGCGCACGGGUGCGUAACGCGUGGGAACCUGCCCUUAGGUUCGGAAUAACUCCCCGAAAGGGGUGCUAAUACCGGAUAAUGUCUUCGGACCAAAGAUUUAUCGCCUUUGGAUGGGCCCGCGUUGGAUUAGCUAGUUGGUAGGGUAAAAGCCUACCAAGGCGACGAUCCAUAGCUGGUCUGAGAGGAUGAUCAGCCACACUGGGACUGAAACACGGCCCAGACUCCUACGGGAGGCAGCAGUGGGGAAUAUAGGACAAUGGGCGAAAGCCUGAUACAGCAAUGCCGCGUGAGUGAUGAAGGCCUUAGGGUUGUAAAGCUCUUUUACCCGGGAUGAUAAUGACAGUACCGGGAGAAUAAGCUCCGGCUAACUCCGUG